CUGGUGAUGUGCGAUUACAGCUCACCGGUAAUGCUCUUCAGGUCUUCCUUGCGUAGAUUUUGAUGCUAGAUACGGUGGUCUUGAGUCAUGCUUUUGAAUCCAUAUUCUAAUCACAUUUGUGGGCAAUGGGGAUCAUCUUCGAAAUAUCUGCACUUAAGCUGCGGAUGUUUGCAAUUCGUGUUCAAUGUGACUACCUUUAUGCAAGGGGCGUCACUUAGGCUGAUCUUUUUUUUAUGGUGGGAGUAAGGUGAAUGUGAGUGUAAGGGGUGUUACUUAGAUCUUUUGUAUGGUUCGCAGAACUUCAAGAGGAAAAUAUUGUAGUUCUUCGAAGAGUUUAUAACAUUGAAGAGUUUGGAAUUGAACUUUCAAUCUGACAUUAUUGGUUGCUGGGAAGGUCUUUCUGUAUCUAGCAAUCAGUUGCAGGU
Molecule: long non-coding RNA, 425 nt
Organism: Papaver somniferum (opium poppy)
Lineage: Eukaryota; Viridiplantae; Streptophyta; Magnoliopsida; Ranunculales; Papaveraceae
Exons: 4
Source: RefSeq, a predicted model, not a curated record